Long non-coding RNA from Centrocercus urophasianus (Greater sage-grouse), 1910 nucleotides. RefSeq lists it as uncharacterized. The transcript has 2 exons. The record is from RefSeq and is a predicted model, not a curated record. NCBI's taxonomy places the organism in Eukaryota, Metazoa, Chordata, Aves, Galliformes, Phasianidae.
CUCAAAAUAUAAAAUAUAAAAUAGAUAAUUAAAAGAUUAAAAAGCUGUGGCUAAGCUGUAGCAGUUGAAAUAUGUGCAAGCAUCAGUAAUCUUCAGUGUAGAGGGAUAUUUUACCAUUGUACCUAUGUAUGCAUAGAGCAGACCUGAUAAAUAAUUACUGCAACUUAUUACUUGCUAUUUCUGUUUGCCUCUACUGUUGUUAUCUUCAUAUUGCAGGUAGUUACUAGUUAAUCUUCAUGUAUACAGCUGUAUGUAGCAUGUCCCUUGAUGUAGCUAGUCCUUGACCCAGCUGGGCGUUGCUGGGUUUACUGAUGGAGAGGGAAUCUUUGCAAAGGUUACUGCUUCCAGGUUGCUGUUUCCAGCAAAUCUUUUAUGUUCUUAGAAGACCUCAUUUUAGAUCCAGCUACUGUUUUCUUGGUAAGUUAAGUCUGGUAAAUAACGAGUAGUAGAUAUCCAUGCUACUUUGAUGUACCAGUUGCAGGUGGGAGUCCAAUAGAACUCGUUGGAUGGCUCAUCAGUUUCUUCCAAAAUGGCUGUUUCGCAUAUUUGCCCCCACCCUGCAGGCCCUUUUAAAUUAACCUCAGUCACUUUGGUUCCCUUGAUAUCUUGUUCUUGCUGGAACUACUCUGAGAGGGGAAUUGGGCUGGCUGACAUUAUUCGUACAAUCAUUUUAGUGCCAAUUAAGACAAUUAACUUUGUCUGGAGCAUGGCAAAGAUGAAAUGUAGAGUCAUGCUUUAAGUGUGUGCGUGCAGGUAUACAUGCAAGUAGUUAACCUCUUUAGCCCUGUUAUUUGAUUUGCUAAGUUACAGCUAUUUUGAUUUCUCCCCCUGUGCCUUCCAGCAUUCAGCCACCUCUCACAAAUGUUCCUUUAGUCCCAAGCCUCAUUAGUCUUCCUGCUGUCCCUCGGUGCCAGGAAAAGUACAGCCAGUGAUCUGACUGUAAGCAAUCUCUGUGCUAAUUUACCCUAAUAUCUUCACAGGGUAAGAUCCUCAGUCUUCACAGAACUGUUAGUAGCUGUGGUUAGUUCCCAGAGCCUGCUCCAUCUCUAGACCUUGCUGCAGCCUGCAACACAGAUGUAUGUGGAAGCCAAUUCAUCCCAAGGUCUCCUGGGGAGAAAAGCUUCAUCAAAAUGCAAGAUUGCUAUAAUGGUAGAAGAUCACGAAAUUCUUCUGUGUGUCAUGCAGGAGGGGGAAGGGGAGAAAAGAGACCAGACAAAACCACUCAGUGUAGCUGUGAAGCUUCUCUAAUUUUUAUCUCAUGCAGUUUUUAUUGUGUGUUUUAUUUCUUCUCUCACCAGCAGCUAUCUGGGUGAAAGGAGGUGUGAAUAGUGCAGUUCUUAGAACUCUGCUUUUCACACAAACUCUGACUCGAGGAGCAUUUUCUUCUCACACUUGCUAUGCUUCAUCUCUGGCAGAAAUGCAGCCUAGUGUAUUGGGUGUAGCUGUGCAUUAUUGGCACCUCUGAUUUUUCUAGAAACAAAUCAGGAGGAUGUUGUCAGUGUUUUACAGCAUUUCCUGAUGGAGUGAGGAAGCUUUCUGAAUCCACCUGUGCUCACUGGCUGCUUGUUGGUGCUCAUGAGCAGGAUCUGUGUUGAUAAUCCCUGAUGGACUGACUGCAGGAGAGGAGCGUGCUGCAUGCAUUUGUGUAGGCUGAGGGAAGCAGCUCACCAAGAGGAAUCAGAUCAGAGUGCAGAGCAUGGCAUAGCAUCUCCAUACCGGCCUUUCUGCAGGGAGCUGAAAUGGGGAAGCAACUGCAGGGAGCAGAGCAGCAUGAGGUGAAAAUCUAGGGAAGUCUUCAGCUCAAGCAUCUGCUGUCUCAGCACUGGCUUGAAACUGCAGUGAUCAGCACCAGAAAGUUUGCGCUUGGAUUGUGGAACUGCUGAAAUAUAAUUGCAACCAAUGGCUUGAAA